RNAcentral lists this small nuclear RNA (280 nucleotides) under Pan paniscus (pygmy chimpanzee). Its description in RNAcentral is "7SK RNA (ENSPPAG00000016083.1)". It matches the Rfam family "7SK RNA". Rfam says of the family: 7SK was discovered as an abundant small nuclear RNA in the mid-70s but a possible function has only recently been suggested. Two independent studies have found that 7SK RNA binds the CDK9/cyclin T complex (known as elongation factor P-TEFb). Lineage: Eukaryota; Metazoa; Chordata; Mammalia; Primates; Hominidae. The record is from RNAcentral.
ACAUGUGAGGGUGAUCUGGCUGUGACAUCUGUCACCCCCUUGAUUACCAGGGUUGAUUCGGUUGAUCUGGCUGGCUAGGUGGGUGUCCCUUUCCCCACUUACUGCUCCAUGUGUGUCCCUCCUGAAUCUGUGCGCUUGGUUGAAGAGGAUGACCAUCCGGAUAGAGGAGAACCAGUCUUUGGUCAAGGGUAUACAAGUAGCUGUGCUCGCUUGCUAGAACCUCCAAACAAGCUCUCAAGGUCCAAACAUCCAGCAGAUAAUUAGCAAUGGAUUAGAAAAG